Molecule: transfer RNA, 66 nt
Filed under: Dipodomys ordii (Ord's kangaroo rat)
Lineage: Eukaryota; Metazoa; Chordata; Mammalia; Rodentia; Heteromyidae
Rfam family: tRNA
About the family: Transfer RNA (tRNA) molecules are approximately 80 nucleotides in length.
Source: Rfam by way of RNAcentral
GGUGGCUCAGUGGUAAGAGUUCUUGCCUUGCAUUCAGGAGGCCCUGGGUUCGAUUCCUCAGCACCA